Molecule: transfer RNA, 84 nt
Filed under: Conexibacter sp. JD483
Lineage: Bacteria; Bacillati; Actinomycetota; Thermoleophilia; Solirubrobacterales; Conexibacteraceae
Also listed under: 2 other names
Description: tRNA-Leu
Rfam family: tRNA
About the family: Transfer RNA (tRNA) molecules are approximately 80 nucleotides in length. Their secondary structure includes four short double-helical elements and three loops (D, anti-codon, and T loops).
Source: RNAcentral
GCCCGGGUGGCGGAAUUGGCAGACGCCGCCGACUUAAAAUCGGCUGUCCUCACGGACGUGCGGGUUCGAUCCCCGCCCCGGGCA